Molecule: unclassified non-coding RNA, 595 nt
Filed under: Melitaea cinxia (Glanville fritillary)
Lineage: Eukaryota; Metazoa; Arthropoda; Insecta; Lepidoptera; Nymphalidae
Description: misc RNA ENSMCXG00005022533.1
Source: RNAcentral
UCAAGGGAAAUUUAAAUAAAACGUUUUAAAAAUAUACUGUUUUAUUAUUAUUGACAGAUGUAUACAGUUGUGUGCGUUACAUUUUCGUAAUUUAGUACACAUUUUUUAAAUAAUAACAUAACUAUAUAUUAUGAUAUUAAAACUAAUAUCUAUCGGUCGACAUUAACCGUUUUUAAUAAUAGAGUUCACUACCAUCCUAUGGGUGUGGAACCAAGAGGACAACUAAACCUCUAAACCUCUAACCUCUACAUACUUUAGUCAAUAGUCACCAUUUUAAUACAUACUCAUAUUUAAAAUCCAUUAUAUGGCAAAUAGCUUACUCAUAAAAAUAAAAAAAUGUGUGUGUGUGUCAGCUCCGACGCACGACUGGAGUUUACUCCUUCAGAUCGACUGUUUAAAUAGGCACAAAAGACUUACUAGUCUAAAAAAAAGAUCAACACCAUAUUGAAUGGUAAAUAAACGAAUCAAAUAACGUCGUAGCGUCAUCUCGGUUAUCCGAUAGAUGGCGUUACGAGAAACGUAACGAGGUCAUUCGUUCAGUAGAUUUUACUCCUCAUAUUUUUUUCAUACCGGGGGCCUUGUGUGAAGAUCGAUU